UCAGUACACUAGUAGUGUCCGUGAAUAUUGCGUUUAAAGCGUUCGUAGCCGGCUAAGCAAGUUUUCUGUGAAAUCUUUCGGCUCAACCGAAUAGGCUUGCAGAAAAUACUACUUGGCUCGAGAGUGGGGGAAGCUAAAGGUACUGUANGGGGAGCGGUAAAAUGCUGUAAUCCUUGCAGGACCACCAGUGGCGAAGGCGUUUAUCUAAAACACGUCUGACGGUGAGGGACGAAAGCUAUGGGAGCAAACGGGAUUAGAUACCCCGGUAGUCCUGGGCGUNAACGAUGUCCGUUUGGUGUUGCACACUCUACGUGGGUGUGCAGUGCCGUANCGUANGCGUAAACGGACCGCCUGGGGAGUAUGACUGCNAGGCUGAAACUCCNAGGAAUUGACGGGGGCUCGCACAAGCGGUGGAGUAUGUGGUUUUAUUCCAAAACAACGCGCAGAANCUUACCUGGGCUUGACAUGCUUGAAUUAACCAUCUGAAAAGAUGGUGACCCCCCCCAGGGAAGAACAACCCAGUGUUUUCAUGCUGUCCUCCA
Molecule: ribosomal RNA, 542 nt
Filed under: uncultured bacterium
Lineage: Bacteria
Description: bacterial SSU rRNA
Rfam family: Bacterial small subunit ribosomal RNA
Source: RNAcentral